Molecule: ribosomal RNA, 1446 nt
Filed under: Escherichia coli
Lineage: Bacteria; Pseudomonadati; Pseudomonadota; Gammaproteobacteria; Enterobacterales; Enterobacteriaceae
Description: partial 23S ribosomal RNA
Rfam family: Bacterial large subunit ribosomal RNA
Source: RNAcentral
CUGAAUAUGGGGGGACCAUCCUCCAAGGCUAAAUACUCCUGACUGACCGAUAGUGAACCAGUACCGUGAGGGAAAGGCGAAAAGAACCCCGGCGAGGGGAGUGAAAAAGAACCUGAAACCGUGUACGUACAAGCAGUGGGAGCACGCUUAGGCGUGUGACUGCGUACCUUUUGUAUAAUGGGUCAGCGACUUAUAUUCUGUAGCAAGGUUAACCGAAUAGGGGAGCCGAAGGGAAACCGAGUCUUAACUGGGCGUUAAGUUGCAGGGUAUAGACCCGAAACCCGGUGAUCUAGCCAUGGGCAGGUUGAAGGUUGGGUAACACUAACUGGAGGACCGAACCGACUAAUGUUGAAAAAUUAGCGGAUGACUUGUGGCUGGGGGUGAAAGGCCAAUCAAACCGGGAGAUAGCUGGUUCUCCCCGAAAGCUAUUUAGGUAGCGCCUCGUGAAUUCAUCUCCGGGGGUAGAGCACUGUUUCGGCAAGGGGGUCAUCCCGACUUACCAACCCGAUGCAAACUGCGAAUACCGGAGAAUGUUAUCACGGGAGACACACGGCGGGUGCUAACGUCCGUCGUGAAGAGGGAAACAACCCAGACCGCCAGCUAAGGUCCCAAAGUCAUGGUUAAGUGGGAAACGAUGUGGGAAGGCCCAGACAGCCAGGAUGUUGGCUUAGAAGCAGCCAUCAUUUAAAGAAAGCGUAAUAGCUCACUGGUCGAGUCGGCCUGCGCGGAAGAUGUAACGGGGCUAAACCAUGCACCGAAGCUGCGGCAGCGACGCUUAUGCGUUGUUGGGUAGGGGAGCGUUCUGUAAGCCUGCGAAGGUGUGCUGUGAGGCAUGCUGGAGGUAUCAGAAGUGCGAAUGCUGACAUAAGUAACGAUAAAGCGGGUGAAAAGCCCGCUCGCCGGAAGACCAAGGGUUCCUGUCCAACGUUAAUCGGGGCAGGGUGAGUCGACCCCUAAGGCGAGGCCGAAAGGCGUAGUCGAUGGGAAACAGGUUAAUAUUCCUGUACUUGGUGUUACUGCGAAGGGGGGACGGAGAAGGCUAUGUUGGCCGGGCGACGGUUGUCCCGGUUUAAGCGUGUAGGCUGGUUUUCCAGGCAAAUCCGGAAAAUCAAGGCUGAGGCGUGAUGACGAGGCACUACGGUGCUGAAGCAACAAAUGCCCUGCUUCCAGGAAAAGCCUCUAAGCAUCAGGUAACAUCAAAUCGUACCCCAAACCGACACAGGUGGUCAGGUAGAGAAUACCAAGGCGCUUGAGAGAACUCGGGUGAAGGAACUAGGCAAAAUGGUGCCGUAACUUCGGGAGAAGGCACGCUGAUAUGUAGGUGAAGUCCCUCGCGGAUGGAGCUGAAAUCAGUCGAAGAUACCAGCUGGCUGCAACUGUUUAUUAAAAACACAGCACUGUGCAAACACGAAAGUGGACGUAUACGGUGUGACGCCUGCCCGGUGC